This 338-nucleotide small nuclear RNA is filed under the name Chinchilla lanigera (long-tailed chinchilla). RNAcentral describes it as "7SK RNA (ENSCLAG00000021493.1)". It matches the Rfam family "7SK RNA". From Rfam's summary of the family: 7SK was discovered as an abundant small nuclear RNA in the mid-70s but a possible function has only recently been suggested. Two independent studies have found that 7SK RNA binds the CDK9/cyclin T complex (known as elongation factor P-TEFb). P-TEFb activates transcription by phosphorylating the C-terminal domain of RNA polymerase II. The record is from Rfam by way of RNAcentral. Lineage: Eukaryota; Metazoa; Chordata; Mammalia; Rodentia; Chinchillidae.
GAACGUGAGGGCCGUCUGGCUGUGACAUCCAUCACCUCAGUGAUCUCCAGGGUUGAUUAGGCUAAUCUGGCUGGCUAGGCAGCUGUCCCCUUCCUCCUUCACCAUUCUAUGUGUGUCCUUCCCGAAGCUGCGAGCUCGGUUAAAGAGGACGACCACCCCCAAAAGAGAAAGACCGAUUCCCCUGUCAAGGGUUUACAAGUAGCUGCGCUCCACUGCUAAAACCUCCAAACCAGGUUUCAAUAUACAAAUAUCCCCUGUGUCCUUGGGCUUGUGAGACUUCAUGUAUUUUGCCCUUUGCCUCUUUCUGCAGCAAAGCGGUUGAGAGCUUGGCUGAAGCG